RNAcentral lists this non-coding RNA (88 nucleotides) under Chlorobium ferrooxidans DSM 13031. RNAcentral's name for it is "SAM-Chlorobi RNA". It matches the Rfam family "SAM-Chlorobi RNA". The record is from RNAcentral. Lineage: Bacteria; Pseudomonadati; Chlorobiota; Chlorobiia; Chlorobiales; Chlorobiaceae.
UGACACUCCCAUUACCUAUGGACACGGUGUCACAAGCUCUCAACAGGGGUUCUGCCCUCGAGCUUGCCGGAAGUUUUUCCGUGUCCAG